AGGGAAUCUUCCACAAUGGACGCAAGUCUGAUGGAGCAACGCCGCGUGAGUGAAGAAGGUUUUCGGACCGUAAAGCUCUGUUGUUGGUGAAGAAGGAUAGAGGUAGUAACUGGCCUUUAUUUGACGGUAAUCAACCAGAAAGUCACGGCUAACUACGUGCCAGCAGCCGCGGUAAUACGUAGGUGGCAAGCGUUGUCCGGAUUUAUUGGGCGUAAAGCGAGCGCAGGCGGAAGAAUAAGUCUGAUGUGAAAGCCCUCGGCUUAACCGAGGGAUUGCAUCGGAAACUGUUUUCUUGAGUGCAGAAGAGGAGAGUAGAACUCCAUGUGUAGCGGUGGAAUGCGUAGAUAUAUGGAAGAAUACCAGUGGCGAAGGCGGCUCUCUGGUCUGCAACUGACGCUGAGGCUCGAAAGCAUGGGUAGCGAACAGGAUUAGAUACCCUGGUAGUCCAUGCCGUAAACGAUGAGUGCUAAGUGUUGGGAGGCUUCCGCCUCUCAGUGCUGCAGCUAACGCAUUAAGCACUCCGCCUGGGGGAGUACGACCGCAAGGUUGAAAC
Molecule: ribosomal RNA, 553 nt
Filed under: uncultured bacterium
Lineage: Bacteria
Description: partial 16S ribosomal RNA
Rfam family: Bacterial small subunit ribosomal RNA
Source: RNAcentral